AUGAUGACACGGGGCUUCCUCGACGCCUCCCGCAGACGGGUGGUGUAUGAAGAAAGGUAGAGACGCUGA
RNAcentral lists this small nucleolar RNA (69 nucleotides) under Aeropyrum pernix K1. RNAcentral's name for it is "APEsR13". The record is from RNAcentral. Lineage: Archaea; Thermoproteati; Thermoproteota; Thermoprotei; Acidilobales; Acidilobaceae.